CCCUUAGAUGUUCUGGGCCGCACGCGCGCUACACUGACGAUGGCAACGAGUUUUUCCUUCGCCGAAAGGUGUGGGUAAUCUUUUGAAACAUCGUCGUGCUGGGGAUAGAUCAUUGCAAUUUUUGAUCUUGAACGAGGAAUUCCUAGUAAGCGCGAGUCAUCAGCUCGCGUUGAUUACGUCCCUGCCCUUUGUACACACCGCCCGUCGCUACUACCGAUUGAAUGGUUUAGUGAGGACUCCUGAUUGGCGCCGCCGCCCCUGCAACGGAGCAGCGGACUGCCGAAAAGUUGUUCAAACUUGAUCAUUUAGAGGAAGUAAAAGUCGUAACA
Molecule: ribosomal RNA, 329 nt
Filed under: uncultured eukaryote
Lineage: Eukaryota
Description: partial 18S ribosomal RNA
Rfam family: Eukaryotic small subunit ribosomal RNA
Source: RNAcentral